RNAcentral lists this ribosomal RNA (254 nucleotides) under uncultured bacterium. Its description in RNAcentral is "partial 16S ribosomal RNA". It matches the Rfam family "Bacterial small subunit ribosomal RNA", at positions 524 to 776 of the family's 1533-position model. The record is from RNAcentral.
CACGUAGGGGGCAAGCGUUGUCCGGAUUUAUUGGGCGUAAAGAGCUCGUAGGUGGUUCGGUAAGUCAGGUGUGAAACCUCCAGGCUCAACCUGGAGACGCCACUUGAUACUGCUGUGACUGGAGUCCGGUAGGGGAGCGUGGAAUUCCUGGUGUAGCGGUGAAAUGCGCAGAUAUCAGGAGGAACACCAGCGGCGAAGGCGGCGCUCUGGGCCGGUACUGACACUGAGACGCGAAAGCGUGGGGAGCGAACAGG